CCCAUCCCUGGAAGUCUUUCAAGGCCAGGUUGGACAGGGCUUGGAGCAACCUAGUCUAGUGGAAGGUGUCCCUGCCCAUGGCAGGGGGUUGGAAUGAGACAAGCUUUAAGGUCCUUUCUGACCCAAACCAGUCUGUGAUUCUGUGAUUCUGUGAUUCUGUGAUUCUGUGAUUCUGUGAUUCUGUGAUUCUGUGAUUCUGUGAUUAGCAUCAGCCUGUUCCUGUUGCUGGACUGCAGCUGGCAGGGAGCGUGCAGGACCCUUGGGAAGCUCAGGUCACUCCACACACAGCUGUGCAGACUCGGCCUUGUUGUGUUUGGAAAGACAAAAGUGAUGGCACAUGUCAGGCAGAUUAGAAGGUGACAGAUAGAUGGACAGGCAGGCAGGCUGCCUUUAAAUAGUCUCCAUAUUUUUCCCAUGACAUCUGUCUGCAGGAGUUUAAAUUAUGAUCCUCGCUUACAGCUUUGAAAGAAUUUAAAAUGCUUAAAUCCCUGUUAAAAACUAAGCUAACAAAGCUUGGCUGGAUGCUACACUUUUAAUCCACAAUGAAAGCAGUGUGCUGGAUUUGAAGGGCUGCAGAGCUCUCAUGGAAAUACCCUGCAAACACUCAGGCCCUCCUAAUGAUCAACCUGCUAUAGAAAUGGUUUGGUGUCAGAUUCAAAUCUGACAGCUAUGCUGAAAUGGCUCCACCAUAACUUCCUCUUCCUUCUGACUGAGGGAUCAGAAUAUAAAUGUGCAACUUAUCCUGUUUUAGACACUUCACAAGCAAUAACUGUGAUGUCAAGGCCCCAGAUGCCAGCUGGGAUCUGGGAGAAAUCAUUUAGCUGCCUCUCACCCCCAUGAGUGUGGGGAGAGAGCAGCAAGUCCCAGAGCUAAGUGCUUUCAGCAGCACCACCUGCUGCUGCCCCCCCAGCAAACCAGCCAUAGAUCCUAUGAGCUCUGCUCCCCCAUAACCAGACACGAGGAGCACAUGGCAAAAAAUCUCCUGGAGGGCAGGAAGUAGUGCCAAAGAAGAAACAAGGGGAUGCUUCAGCGAGGCGCCUUCCCAAGCCCCUCAUGCUUUUAGAGUGUUUGUCAUACACAGAACUGCUAUCAAGAGCCUUGGAGCCGCCUUCCCUUUCUGUAGAGGCAGUGAAUGGGAUCAAACCCAGGGUCCUGCAGCAUUCACAGUGCUACUUUCGUCAUCAGAGGAGCAGAGAAUCUUUUGAUAGAUGUUAACCUAAGAGUUUUUCAUCAACCCUAUUCAGUAGGCAAGUCAAGAAACGGCAAGGGCACUCAAAAUCAGCCAAAUAAAAGGCAAGACAACCCCCCAUACAGAUACUUUCUUGCUAAAACUAUUAAUAAACAUUGCACAUUGCGUCAA
Pseudopipra pipra is the source of this 1360-nucleotide long non-coding RNA. RefSeq lists it as uncharacterized. The transcript has 3 exons. The record is from RefSeq and is a predicted model, not a curated record. NCBI's taxonomy places the organism in Eukaryota, Metazoa, Chordata, Aves, Passeriformes, Pipridae.